AACGAACGCUGGCGGCAGGUCUUAGGCAUGCAAGUCGAACGGGUGUAGCAAUACAUCAGUGGCGCACGAGUGAGUAACGCGUGGGAAGCUGCCCUUCACUGGGGAAUAACGUCUGGAAACGAACGCUAAUACAGCAUACGCCGGAAACGGGAAAGAUUUAUCGGUGAAGGAUGCGCCCGCGUUGGAUUAGCUUGUUGGUAGGGUAACGGCCUACCAAGGCGAUGAUCCAUAGCUGGUCUGAGAGGACGAUCAGCCACGCGGGAACUGAGACACGGUCCAGACUCCUACGGGAGGCAGCAGCUAAGAAUAUUGGGCAAUGGAGGAAACUCUGACCCAGCCAUGCCGCGUGAAUGAAGAAGGCCUUCGGGUUGUAAGGUUCUUUUAGUCGUGAAGAUGAUGACAGUAGCGACAGAAAAAGCACCGGCUAACUUCGUGCCAGCAGCCGCCGUAA
This 451-nucleotide ribosomal RNA is filed under the name uncultured bacterium. RNAcentral describes it as "partial 16S ribosomal RNA". It matches the Rfam family "Bacterial small subunit ribosomal RNA", at positions 29 to 523 of the family's 1533-position model. The record is from RNAcentral.